This 728-nucleotide ribosomal RNA is filed under the name Curtobacterium flaccumfaciens. Its description in RNAcentral is "bacterial SSU rRNA". It matches the Rfam family "Bacterial small subunit ribosomal RNA", at positions 395 to 1135 of the family's 1533-position model. Lineage: Bacteria; Bacillati; Actinomycetota; Actinomycetes; Micrococcales; Microbacteriaceae. The record is from RNAcentral.
CGCCGCGUGAGGGAUGACGGCCUUCGGGUUGUAAACCUCUUUUAGUAGGGAAGAAGCGAAAGUGACGGUACCUGCAGAAAAAGCACCGGCUAACUACGUGCCAGCAGCCGCGGUAAUACGUAGGGUGCAAGCGUUGUCCGGAAUUAUUGGGCGUAAAGAGCUCGUAGGCGGUUUGUCGCGUCUGCUGUGAAAUCCCGAGGCUCAACCUCGGGCUUGCAGUGGGUACGGGCAGACUAGAGUGCGGUAGGGGAGAUUGGAAUUCCUGGUGUAGCGGUGGAAUGCGCAGAUAUCAGGAGGAACACCGAUGGCGAAGGCAGAUCUCUGGGCCGUAACUGACGCUGAGGAGCGAAAGCAUGGGGAGCGAACAGGAUUAGAUACCCUGGUAGUCCAUGCCGUAAACGUUGGGCGCUAGAUGUAGGGACCUUUCCACGGUUUCUGUGUCGUAGCUAACGCAUUAAGCGCCCCGCCUGGGGAGUACGGCCGCAAGGCUAAAACUCAAAGGAAUUGACGGGGGCCCGCACAAGCGGCGGAGCAUGCGGAUUAAUUCGAUGCAACGCGAAGAACCUUACCAAGGCUUGACAUACACCGGAAACGGCCAGAGAUGGUCGCCCCCUUGUGGUCGGUGUACAGGUGGUGCAUGGUUGUCGUCAGCUCGUGUCGUGAGAUGUUGGGUUAAGUCCCGCAACGAGCGCAACCCUCGUUCUAUGUUGCCAGCGGGUUAUGCCGGG